GCCUUAUAGAUAUAUUCAAAAAAAACUUAUUUAAAAGAAUAGGAUAGAAAUAAUAUACUUAGAGAUGACAAAAUCCUACAUCUAGUUGAUCAAGGAUAGAUUGGUUUUAUACAAACUAAGAACUCUUCUAAUAUGGGAAUAUACAUUGUAUUUUGCCACACUUAUCAUACCUCUUAGAUCACUUGACAAUUUUUUUUAUUCAUUUUCUAUGAAACAAUUAAGCAAAACAAUAAGAGAAUUAUCAAAGGUACUCAAAGGCGAUGUACGCUUUGAUGACAAGCAUAUUAAUCUGCUUGCAGACUUCAUGACAAACAAAGAUAAGAUGGUACCUGUGAAU
This 337-nucleotide long non-coding RNA is filed under the name Physcomitrium patens. RNAcentral describes it as "long non-coding RNA (PPAT_LNC007092)". Lineage: Eukaryota; Viridiplantae; Streptophyta; Bryopsida; Funariales; Funariaceae. The record is from RNAcentral.